Long non-coding RNA from Panicum virgatum (switchgrass), 1043 nucleotides. RefSeq lists it as uncharacterized. NCBI's taxonomy places the organism in Eukaryota, Viridiplantae, Streptophyta, Magnoliopsida, Poales, Poaceae. The transcript has 2 exons. The record is from RefSeq and is a predicted model, not a curated record.
CGGCGGCUGAACUUGACCAAAGGAUGGCGCGUCUGGUGUCCAUGCUCUUGCGUGCUGCUCGUGACUCAUUCCCCGCAUGGCCGCAUCUCGCGCCGCCCGAUCUGCGGCCGCUGGCGCAGGUCUAGUCCAUCGCAGUUGCCCCAUCGCGGCGUUUCGCCCCCAGAGGAGGGGCUUUGCGGGACAAGAUGCUUCUUCGGAGCAUCCCCAGAGGGGCUGUGCUGCAGAAGAUGCGUCUUCGGAGCAUAUGUUGGUUAGACGCUCCCCUCACGCCGAUCCCCGCCUCCCCUUGUUCCACGUCCACGGAGUCGAAUCCUCCUUAGAACAGCACUAUAAUGACGAGUUUGUGGCAACAGAGAAGGAUAUGGAAUCAUCUGAAGCUAUGUGGGCCUUGUAUGUGCGCUGGUGCGAAUAUUUUAAAGAGAAGCGUGACCAUGAUGAGAUGGUUCGUCUCUUCCCCAAUUUCCAGAAGACUGUACGUCGAGUGCAUGAAGUGAAGAAUUCUAAUCUUCCUUAUAGGUUGGAGAUAAGUGAAUAUGCAGAUAUGAAAGCACUAGAGCAUACUAAGAGAUUAACAGACGAAGAUUUCGAGCGGUACAAAGCCCAGGGCUUGCUGGAUGAAUCUCACUUAGAAUGAGGAAAGGGUUCAUCAGUACCACCACUCCUAAGGCUAUGCUUGUUUAUUGGUCUUAAUAAUGUCACCAAUCCUUCACUUAGAAUGAGGAAAGGGUUCAUCAGUACCACCACUCCUAAGGCUAUGCUUGUUUAUUGGUCUUAAUAAUGUCACCAAUCCUUCACUUAGAAUGAGGAAAGGGUUCAUCAGUACCACCACUCCUAAGGCUAUGCUUGUUUAUCGGUCUUAAUAAUGUCACCAAUCCUCUACUCCUUUUACAACUGAAGGCUAUCAGUGCCUAGGACUUUUGUGAUGCUUGAGUCAGUUGUUAGUUCUGUAUAAGUAUUGUACGUGAAGUUCUGCAGACCUAUUGAUGACUAUGAAAGGUUUUAGUUUGUAUCCAUCGAUAUCUGAAAAGUGUUGAUGAUCAGAA